AAUCAACGCUGGCGGCGUGCCUAACACAUGCAAGUCGAACGAGAAAGUGGAGCAAUCCAUGAGUAAAGUGGCGACCGGGUGAGUAACACGUGACUAACCUACCUUCGAGUGGGGGAUAACCUCGGGAAACCGGGGCUAAUACCGCAUAACAUCUUUGGAGUGGAAAUUUCGGAGAUCAAAGGAGCAAUUCGCUGGAAGAGGGGGUCGCGGCUGAUUAGCUAGUUGGCGGGGUAACGGCCCACCAAGGCUAGAUCGGUAGCCGGCCUGAGAGGGCGCACGGCCACACUGGAACUGAAACACGGUCCAGACUCCUACGGGAGGCAGCAGUGGGGAAUUUUGCGCAAUGGGGGAAACCCUGACGCAGCAACGCCGCGUGGAGGAUGAAGUCCCUUGGGACGUAAACUCCUUUCGACCCGGACGAUAAUGACGGUACGGGUGGAAGAAGCCCCGGCUAACUUCGUGCCAGCCGCCGCCGUAAG
Molecule: ribosomal RNA, 479 nt
Filed under: uncultured bacterium
Lineage: Bacteria
Description: bacterial SSU rRNA
Rfam family: Bacterial small subunit ribosomal RNA
Source: RNAcentral